AACGAACGCUGGCGGCAUGCCUAACACAUGCAAGUCGAACGAAACCUUCGGGUCUUGUGGCGCACGGGUGCGUAACGCGUGGGAACCUGCCCUUAGGUUCGGAAUAACUCCCCGAAAGGGGUGCUAAUACCGGAUAAUGUCUUCGGACCAAAGAUUUAUCGCCUUUGGUUGGGCCCGCGUUGGAUUAGCUGGUUGGUAGGGUAAAAGCAUACUAAGGCGACCAUCCACAGCUGGUCUGAGAGGAUGGUCAGCCACACUGGGACUGGGACACGGCCCAGACUCCUACGGGAGGCAGCAGUGGGGAAUAUUGGAACAUGGGCGAAAGCCUGAUGCAGCAAUGCCGCGUGAGUGAUGAAGGCCUUAGGGUUGUAAAGCUCUUUUACCCGGGAUGAUAAUGACAGUACCGGGAGAAUAAGCCCCGGCUAACUCCGUG
Molecule: ribosomal RNA, 433 nt
Filed under: uncultured bacterium
Lineage: Bacteria
Description: partial 16S ribosomal RNA
Rfam family: Bacterial small subunit ribosomal RNA
Source: RNAcentral